AUGUUCUGCCCACCGUUCCCACAGUAGGAACUGAUUUGGAGGACGCAGCCUUGAGAAAGCAACGUGUUGCGAAGACCAUUUGGCUGGUGUACGUGACUUUUGAGAUUCUGGAGGGUGGUGAGAUCUACUCUUCCUGAGGCCGCCCAGGAAUUUGGAGCUGGGCUUUUUGGAGGAGUUCAUCCUAGCGUGCUCUGCAGAUCAAGAGGAAUAAGUCACAAGGCCAGAAGGAGUGAGGAGACCCUCGUUGCAAAACAAAACAGAGCAUCUGGGGUUUAGCAGCUCCUAUGAAGUAGUCCCUAGGACUCAAAAGCAAGGCCCGACUGCUUGCUGUCAGUGUGGCAUGUUGAAGAAGUGGAUUCUUCUAAUUAACUCAAGAUGGCAAUCUCCCAAAGCUGUCUGUUUUCAAGAUUAUAGGUAUUUCAUUUUCAUUCUGUUGUGAUAAAGAGGAAUGUGAUGAAGAUGAUUGGAAUUACCUCCCAUUACGAGCUUGUUAAUUUGUCUGCUGUAAUUUUCUAAGCGUUUUCUUGGAACACA
This 534-nucleotide long non-coding RNA is filed under the name Equus caballus (horse). RNAcentral describes it as "lncRNA (ENSECAG00000050741.1)". The record is from RNAcentral. Lineage: Eukaryota; Metazoa; Chordata; Mammalia; Perissodactyla; Equidae.